GAUGAAGAACGCAGCGAAAUGCGAUAAGUAAUGUGAAUUGCAGAAUUCAGUGAAUCAUCGAAUCUUUGAACGCAUCUUGCGCUCCUUGGUAUUCUGAGGAGCAUGCCUGUUUGAGUGUCAUUAAAUUCUCAACUACACUGACUUUGAAUUGGUGUGGCUUGGAUUUGGGGGGAAAAUUGUUGUGGGCUUUUUGUAUAGUCUGCUCCCCUGAAAUUGAUUAGCGGUACCUUUGUGGAACUGCCUACAGGUGUGAUAAUUAUCUACAUCUUAGACAUCUGCUGGAAUGCUGCUUUCUAAACCUUACUUGUAUUGACAAUCUUGACCUCAAAUCAGGUAGGACUACCCGCUGAACUUAAGCAUAUCAAUAAGCGGAGGA
This 376-nucleotide unclassified non-coding RNA is filed under the name soil metagenome. Its description in RNAcentral is "partial contains 5.8S ribosomal RNA, internal transcribed spacer 2, and large subunit ribosomal RNA". The stretch from base 1 to 120 matches the Rfam family "5.8S ribosomal RNA", at positions 35 to 154 of the family's 154-position model. The record is from RNAcentral.